Non-coding RNA from Ancylostoma duodenale, 64 nucleotides. The record is from Rfam. Lineage: Eukaryota; Metazoa; Nematoda; Chromadorea; Rhabditida; Ancylostomatidae.
GCGAACGGUAUUCAAAAGCUAAUAAUACGCAACGACGAUAUUAUUGCUCGAGAAUACCCUUCGC